UGGGGAAUAUUGGACAAUGGGCGCAAGCCUGAUCCAGCAAUGCCGCGUGUGUGAAGAAGGCCUUCGGGUUGUAAAGCACUUUUAUCAGGAGCGAGACGCUGUCGGCUAAUACCCGGCGGAACUGACGGUACCUGAGGAAUAAGCACCGGCUAACUUCGUGCCAGCAGCCGCGGUAAUACGAAGGGUGCAAGCGUUAAUCGGAAUUACUGGGCGUAAAGCGUGCGUAGGCGGUUUCUUAAGUCUGCUGUGAAAUCCCCGGGCUCAACCUGGGAAUGGCAGUGGAUACUGGGAGGCUAGAGUGUGUCAGAGGGUGGUGGAAUUCCCGGUGUAGCGGUGAAAUGCGUAGAGAUCGGGAGGAACAUCAGUGGCGAAGGCGGCCACCUGGGACAACACUGACGCUGAGGCACGAAAGCGUGGGGGAGCAAACAGGAUUAGGAUACCCUGGUAGUCCACGCCCUAAACGAUGCGAACUGGAUGUUGGUCUCAACUCGGAGAUCAGUGUCGAAGCUAACGCGUUAAGUUCGCCGCCUGGGG
RNAcentral lists this ribosomal RNA (534 nucleotides) under uncultured bacterium. RNAcentral describes it as "partial 16S ribosomal RNA". It matches the Rfam family "Bacterial small subunit ribosomal RNA", at positions 355 to 878 of the family's 1533-position model. The record is from RNAcentral.